UCCGUAGGUGAACCUGCGGAAGGAUCAUUAAUAAAUGGCGACGCUUUCGAGCUUAGCUUUUAUAUCCUUAUACACCUGUGAACUAUUUGCCUUUGGGCACAAACUUAAACAUAAUGUAAUGAAUGUAAACUACAAUAAAUAAAUACAACUUUCAACAACGGAUCUCUUGGCUCUCACAUCGAUGAAGAACGCAGCGAAAUGCGAUAAGUAAUGUGAAUUGCAAAAUUCAGUGAAUCAUCGAAUCUUUGAACGCAAAUUGCGCCCUUUGGUAUUCCGAAGGGCAUGCCUGUUUGAGUGUCUUAUAAACCUCACUCUAAUGUUUAUUCAUUAGUAGUGCUUUGGGUGUUGCCAGCGAUGGCUCGCCUUAAAUGUCUAAGUGGAAUGCAUAAUAAGUUCUUGCAACCCUCCACUCUAACACACUUUAUAUUCUGACCUCAAAUCAGGUAGGACUACCCGCUGAACUUAAGCAUAUCAAUAAGCGGAGGAA
Molecule: ribosomal RNA, 487 nt
Filed under: uncultured fungus
Lineage: Eukaryota; Fungi
Description: eukaryotic LSU rRNA
Rfam family: 5.8S ribosomal RNA (bases 147-300)
Source: RNAcentral